Long non-coding RNA from Pseudophryne corroboree (corroboree frog), 277 nucleotides. RefSeq lists it as uncharacterized. The record is from RefSeq and is a predicted model, not a curated record. The transcript is spliced from 3 exons. Lineage: Eukaryota; Metazoa; Chordata; Amphibia; Anura; Myobatrachidae.
UGUAGAGCUUCCUCAGGCAGAGGAAUUGCCUGAUGAGGAGCCAGGGGUUGUGCCACGCUUCGGUGGGGGGAGUGUGACACGGAGGGGGAGCCAAGUGAGGGCAAGAAUUGUAGCAGAAUAUUUCAGCUGAAUUAUCACACGAACUGUGGACAACAACAACGGCAAAACUCCCCACCCCCUUCCCCUUCUCACUCCCCCUCCCCUUCUCACACCCCCUCCCCUUCUCACUCCCCCUCCCCUUCUCACUCCCCCUCCCCUUCUCACUCCCCCUCCCCUU